AGAAUCAACGCUGGCGGCGUGCCUCAGACAUGCAAGUCGAACGCGAAAGUCCCCUUCGGGGGCGAGUAGAGUGGCGCACGGGUGAGUAACACGUAGGUAAUCUACCUUUGGAUGGGGAAUAACAACCGGAAACGGUUGCUAAUACCGCAUAAUGCAGCGGCACCUAAUGGUGACAGUUGUUAAAGCGGGGGAUCGAAAGACCUCGCGUCUGAAGAGGAGCCUGCGGCGGAUUAGCUAGUUGGUAAGGUAACGGCUUACCAAGGCGACGAUCC
RNAcentral lists this ribosomal RNA (272 nucleotides) under uncultured soil bacterium. RNAcentral's name for it is "partial 16S ribosomal RNA". It matches the Rfam family "Bacterial small subunit ribosomal RNA", at positions 26 to 282 of the family's 1533-position model. The record is from RNAcentral.